Molecule: non-coding RNA, 717 nt
Organism: Oryzias melastigma (Indian medaka)
Lineage: Eukaryota; Metazoa; Chordata; Actinopteri; Beloniformes; Adrianichthyidae
Source: the annotation of a RefSeq genome assembly
UUUUGCAUUUUGUUAAAUUAAAGUAAAUGUUUUUCUUUACUUUUAAAGUUUAUUUUCAAAGAAGUGUUUUAGAGAUUAGAUGGUGGUGCUCACAUAAUACUUUGGUUAAUCAUUAACACAGUUUCUAAACCAGAAUUGAGAUCAAAAUGUGUUUAAAUCAUGAUUAUAACUCAUUUACUAAAAAAAAAUAAAUAAAUACUACUUAAGAGAAAAUGACUUAUUUCUUGCUUCCAUCAUUUGAGUUUGUUUGUUUCAGAGUCAGAGAGCGUGUCUCUGUACAGUCAGAGGUUUUUGUACGACGCUUCAACCAGUUUGUAUCACUGUGGUACACGUUUGGUGGAGGAACCAGACUGGAAGUUGACUUGGGUCAUGUGCCCCCCUCCCUGACCGUGCUCCUCCCCUCCACCAAGGAGCUGCAGCAGGGGAAGGCCACACUCAUGUGUGUGGCCAACAAGGGCUUCCCCUCAGACUGGACUCUGUCCUGGAAGGUGGUCGGCAGCAGCAGCAGCAACUGGGAGGAGAGCAGGAGCCCCGGGGUGCUGCAGAAGGACGGCCUCUACAGCUGGAGCAGCACCCUGAGGCUCUCUGCAGACCAGUGGGAGAAGGUGACCUGUGAGGCCAAGAGAGGAUCCCAGACUGCAGUCUCAGAGACUCUCAGGAGAGACCAGUGCUCCCAGUCCUGAACUGAAGCAUUCUGAAUAUAAAUCUGUUUUCUAU